GACGAACGCUGGCGGCGUGCCUAACACAUGCAAGUCGAACGGGACUUAGUGGAAUGCGACUUCGGUCAAAUGAAAUUAAGUUUAGUGGCGAACGGGUGAGUAACGCGUGAGGAACCUGCCUUUCAGUGGGGGACAACAGUUGGAAACGACUGCUAAUACCGCAUAACAUGACGAGACCGCAUGAUCUUGUCAUCAAAGCUUUAUGUGCUGAAAGAUGGCCUCGCGUCUGAUUAGCUAGUUGGAGGGGUAACGGCCCACCAAGGCGACGAUCAGUAGCCGGUCUGAGAGGAUGAACGGCCACAUUGGGACUGAGAUACGGCCCAGACUCCUACGGGAGGCAGCAGUGGGGAAUAUUGGGCAAUGGGGGGAAACCCUGACCCAGCAACGCCGCGUGAAGGAGAAGGCUCGGUGUAACGUACUUUACCUAGGACGAAGAACGUAGACGGUACCGUACGGUAGGAAAAAG
This 466-nucleotide ribosomal RNA is filed under the name uncultured bacterium. RNAcentral describes it as "bacterial SSU rRNA". It matches the Rfam family "Bacterial small subunit ribosomal RNA", at positions 28 to 490 of the family's 1533-position model. The record is from RNAcentral.